AACCCAUGGUGAGGGCACCUUCUUAAUAGAUCCUUGUAUCUCUCCCAUGCAUCAUAGGGUGUUUCUAAAUCCAUCCGCACAAAAGAAGAAAUAUCAUUCCUUAAUUU
This 107-nucleotide small nucleolar RNA is filed under the name Gossypium arboreum. RNAcentral describes it as "Plant small nucleolar RNA R71". It matches the Rfam family "Plant small nucleolar RNA R71". From Rfam's summary of the family: R71 is a member of the C/D box family of snoRNAs containing the C (UGAUGA) and D (CUGA) box motifs. Multiple nearly identical copies of this snoRNA have been identified in Arabidopsis, and it is thought to function as a 2'-O-ribose methylation guide for 18S ribosomal RNA. Lineage: Eukaryota; Viridiplantae; Streptophyta; Magnoliopsida; Malvales; Malvaceae. The record is from Rfam by way of RNAcentral.